Non-coding RNA from Heterocephalus glaber (naked mole-rat), 72 nucleotides. NCBI's taxonomy places the organism in Eukaryota, Metazoa, Chordata, Mammalia, Rodentia, Bathyergidae. The record is from Rfam.
UGGGAUGGAGCUCAGUGGUAGAGCUUGAGCUCAGCAUGUACAAGGUCCUGGGUUCAAUCCCCAGCAUCACAA